UACGAAGGGGGCUAGCGUUGUUCGGAAUUACUGGGCGUAAAGGGCGCGUAGGCGGUGUGUCAAGUCAGGCGUGAAAGCCCGGGGCUCAACCCCGGAACUGCCUUUGAAACUAGAUAGCUAGAAUCUUGGAGAGGUCAGUGGAAUUCCGAGUGUAGAGGUGAAAUUCGUAGAUAUUCGGAAGAACACCAGUGGCGAAGGCGACUGACUGGACAAGUAUUGACGCUGAGGUACGAAAGCGUGGGGAGCAAACAGG
Molecule: ribosomal RNA, 253 nt
Filed under: uncultured bacterium
Lineage: Bacteria
Description: partial 16S ribosomal RNA
Rfam family: Bacterial small subunit ribosomal RNA
Source: RNAcentral